This 253-nucleotide ribosomal RNA is filed under the name uncultured bacterium. Its description in RNAcentral is "partial 16S ribosomal RNA". It matches the Rfam family "Bacterial small subunit ribosomal RNA", at positions 524 to 776 of the family's 1533-position model. The record is from RNAcentral.
UACGUAGGGUGCAAGCGUUGUCCGGAAUUAUUGGGCGUAAAGAGCUUGUAGGUGGUUUGUCGCGUCUGCUGUGAAAUUUCGGGGCUCAACCCCGAACUUGCAGUGGGUACGGGCAGACUAGAGUGUGGUAGGGGAGACUUGAAUUCCUGGUGUAGCGGUGAAAUGCGCAGAUAUCAGGAGGAACACCGAUGGCGAAGGCAGGUCUCUGGGCCACUACUGACGCUGAGAAGCGAAAGCAUGGGGAGCGAACAGG